UGGGGGAUAUUGCACAAUGGGCGAAAGCCUGAUGCAGCGACGCCGCGUGGGGGAUGACGGCCUUCGGGUUGUAAACUUCUUUUGCUCUGAACCAGGCAUGCUAAUGGGUGUGUUGAGUGUAGGGGUUGAUUAGCGCCGGCUAACUACGUGCCAGCAGCCGCGGUAAUACGUAGGGCGCGAGCGUUGUCCGGAAUUAUUGGGCGUAAAGGGCUUGUAGGUGGCUGGUUGCGUCUGUCGUGAAAGCUCAUGGCUUAACUGUGGGUUUGCGGUGGGUACGGGCUGUCUUGAGUGCAGUAGGGGAGUCUGGAAUUCCUGGUGUAGCGGUGGAAUGCGCAGAUAUCAGGAGGAAUACCGGUGGCGAAGGCGGGUCUCUGGGCUGUAUCUGACACUGAGAAGCGAAAGCAUGGGGAGCGAACAGG
This 419-nucleotide ribosomal RNA is filed under the name bacterium. RNAcentral describes it as "partial 16S ribosomal RNA". It matches the Rfam family "Bacterial small subunit ribosomal RNA", at positions 355 to 776 of the family's 1533-position model. The record is from RNAcentral.